Molecule: non-coding RNA, 635 nt
Organism: Ciona intestinalis (vase tunicate)
Lineage: Eukaryota; Metazoa; Chordata; Ascidiacea; Phlebobranchia; Cionidae
Source: RefSeq, a predicted model, not a curated record
AGCGCUUCCAGAAAACGCCAAGUAGGAAUAUUGCAGCAAUGGGCGGGGAGAGGUAACCGCUGAUCUCCUGGAUCGUAAGGAAUAGUUGGCCAUCUUGAAGCAGAAGCAUAACGGGGACCUAAGUGAAACAAUUCCGAUACUUUACCUGUUAAAUAUUGAAUCGAGGUCGCUCAUUAGCGCAGCGAUCAUCACAGCCAUCAUUAACCCUCGCGCGCCUGUGGAUGUUAAGUGUUCCCAGUUGAUUUUUACACAAAAUACCUGUUGGCAUCACUCCCAGCACCAACCGAGGGAACGCAAUGUUUGAACACCCCGUGGAACUUUGACAGAUCGCGUAACAAACCUCUGGAUCAACGCAAGCCACUUCAUCUGUGUCAUAAUAAAAGAAUUCUACUUAUGAGACCGGGCAUAACCAUGAUGAAAAGGGGGAGAGUUUUAAGGAACCCUGCGAAAAUGGUUGCGCCCUGUGCAUGGGAAAGACUCUUGGCAGCCAACGCUCGUUGUACAAUCACCUGUUUAUGAGGAGGCAUGGUCUCUCAGCCUUCCCCUCCCCCAUUCUGCGACAGCGACGCCCAUGUUAUCAUUUGGGGGGCAUGGCCUUGGCGACACCCAUGUUAUCAGCUAUGUAGACCUUAUUC